GUCUCUGGCCAUGCCCCCCUGAACGAGCCUGAUUCCUUUUGAUCUCAGAAGCUUAGCAGGGUUGGGCCUGGUUAGUACUUGGAUGGGAGACCACCUAGGAAGACCAGGUGUAGGUAUA
This 118-nucleotide ribosomal RNA is filed under the name Pteropus alecto (black flying fox). Lineage: Eukaryota; Metazoa; Chordata; Mammalia; Chiroptera; Pteropodidae. The record is from RNAcentral.